Molecule: long non-coding RNA, 1542 nt
Filed under: Canis lupus familiaris (dog)
Lineage: Eukaryota; Metazoa; Chordata; Mammalia; Carnivora; Canidae
Description: lncRNA (ENSCAFG00000050501.1, ENSCAFG00845001661.1)
Source: RNAcentral
GGAAGUAUUAAAACAAGUGAAUGAUAAAUAUGAUAAAGUUACAAUCUUGUAGUUUUCUACAAUAUUAGCAUUUAUAAAAUUAUACUGGUAUAAAUAUAGCAUUAUAAAUUUAUAAUUUAAAGUGUGAAAUGUUAAUUCAUAUAAACACUAAAUCAAGAUGGAUAGAACUUUUGGAAGUGUUAAACACUCAAAAUGGAUAAAAUAUAGAAUCUAAUUUUUGCAUGUCAUAUUUGUCCCUAAUGAGCAAAUCAGAAUAAAAUAAGAAAACUAUUGGCACUUUACGUCAGUGCUAAUUAUAGGUUCUAAAUCAAUACUGCUGAUUAAUAUAAACUGACUUGUAAUUUUUAAUUUAUACAAUGUAUAACCACAUACUAUUUCAGUUGCAGAUCUCAUGGAUUCUAUUUUUAAACUAUACUACUUAAUUUGGAUUUCUCCCUAAGGUUUUAGAAUUGGGAAAAAGAAUUGGCAUAGCUUUAAAAGCAGAACUGCUUUUAGCAAUUAUGUUGAAAGGUCCUUGUCUAUGUUUCCCAUCAUUCAAAUAACUCAGUUAAUUUUCAAUACUUUUGUGGACAAUCUGAAUCUUAUGUAUUUCUUUUAAUUAAAUAAUUAUUUUUAUUUUCACAUGCGCCUGAUUAAAUAUUGUGCAUCAUUUUAACAUUGUAUUUACUUGUCUAUUCUGCUUGUAUGAAUAGUGAAUCAUAACUUUUUGACUAAUCGGUAACUAUAGACUGUAGACUAUGUACUAUAUAGUACAGACAGUGAUGUUGCCUUUUCAUUAUUGCAUCAAAUUGCAAAAAUUAAAUUGGACCUAUAUUUUCAGAGCUUAAUCAGAGAUAAAACUCAGAUAAUUUGCUUAUCCUUUCUGAUCUAUUUUAAAUGGAUUUUUCUAUUUACCCGUGAAUUCUUCAUGUAUUUGCUAUAUAAUAUUCGUUUGGUUAUUUAACAUAGAUUUGUUAGGUAUCUUUAAUAGGCUUAGUACUAAUGAUCCUAUUUUCUAAAUAAACAAAAAAAUAGGAUACAUGCUCUGACAAAUAUAUUUUUGGUGACAGUGCUUUUGAAUUACAGAGAGAGGACCAUCCUGAACACAAUGUUGCCAAAACAAGUUACUUGAAAAAAAAAAAUAGACAUCAUAUAAAACAACAAUAAAAAGUGAUUUCUUGAAUAUAUACUGUGUGCCAGGCACUUUAUCUAUAGUAUGCCUAACCCUUAUAGCAAAUGUGCAAGGUUGGUGCUAUUGUUUCCAUUGUAUACUUACAGAAUUCUGCUGAGGUUUAGGGUGGAAGUGAGGUGGUUAUGUAACUUGCCUAAGAUCAAAUGGCUGGUAUGUGCUAAAGCUGGGUCUCAAACUCAGAGCUGGUCUAACAUCAAAGCCUAUGAUGAUCUAGUAUCUCUUAGCAUACAGAUAUUCGUGGUUAAGAAAGGAUGAGGAAGGGAAUCAGCAGUCAGAUAGAUCUGGGUUGACUAUUGGCUAUUUCAUUUUUUUUUUAAUUUUUUAUUUAUUUAUGAUAGUCACACAGAGAGAAAGAGAGAGGCAGAGACACA